GACGAACGCUGGCGGCGUGCUUAACACAUGCAAGUCGAACGGAAAGGCCCUGCUUUUGUGGGGUGCUCGAGUGGCGAACGGGUGAGUAACACGUGAGUAACCUGCCCUGGACUUUGGGAUAACUUCAGGAAACUGGGGCUAAUACCGGAUAGGAGCUCCUGCUGCAUGGUGGGGGUUGGAAAGUUUCGGCGGUAGGGGAUGGACUCGCGGCUUAUCAGCUUGUUGGUGGGGUAGUGGCUUACCAAGGGUUUGACGGGUAGCCGGCCUGGGAGGGUGACCGGCCACAUUGGGACUGAGAUACGGCCCAGACUCCUACGGGAGGCAGCAGUGGGGAAUAUUGCACAAUGGGCGGAAGCCUGAUGCAGCAACGCCGCGUGCGGGAUGACGGCCUUCGGGUUGUAAACCGCUUUAGCCUGUGACGAAGCGUGAGUGACGGUAAUGGGUAAAGAAGCACCGGCUAACUACGUG
RNAcentral lists this ribosomal RNA (468 nucleotides) under uncultured bacterium. Its description in RNAcentral is "partial 16S ribosomal RNA". It matches the Rfam family "Bacterial small subunit ribosomal RNA", at positions 28 to 507 of the family's 1533-position model. The record is from RNAcentral.